This 403-nucleotide ribosomal RNA is filed under the name uncultured bacterium. RNAcentral's name for it is "partial 16S ribosomal RNA". It matches the Rfam family "Bacterial small subunit ribosomal RNA", at positions 29 to 526 of the family's 1533-position model. The record is from RNAcentral.
AUUGAACGCUGGCGGCAGGCCUAACACAUGCAAGUCGAGCGAGCGGCGGACGGGUGAGUAAUGUAUGGGGACUGCCCGCUAGAGGGGGAUAACUACUGGAAACGGUAGCUAAUACCGCAUACUAUCGGAUAACCCAUAUGGGAUUAGCUAGUAGGUGAGGUAAUGGCUCACCUAGGCGACGAUCCCUAGCUGGUCUGAGAGGAUGAUCAGCCACACUGGGACUGAGAAACGGCCCAGACUCCUACGGAGGCAGCAGUGGGGAAUAGUGCACAAUGGGCGCAAGACUGAUGCAGCCAUGCCGGGUGUAGGAAGAAGGACCUAGGGUUGGAAAGUACUUUCAGGCGGGAGGCGUUACCGACAGAAGAAGCACCGGCUAACUCCGGGACAGCAGCCGCGGUAAUAC